AAAUAUAUAAUGAUUUUAAAAUGAUAGUUCAACCGGUAUCUAUUUGAAUAUUAUGGUAGCUAAAUUUUGUCAUUUUCCAUAUAACAAAAUGGAUUAUUUGAAAUCAUGAGAAAAACAAAGCAAUUGCAUCAACACAUAAACAAUUAGCAAUGCAUGUGGCACUUCUUUGAAACCUUGAGGCAGGCGCAAUGGAUGUAUAUUGAAAGCUUUGUUUUGUCUCGUUGAAUGUAAGUUUCUCUUCCACUGUUUUACUUGUUUGAAUACAUGCUGUUGAUUGUUUUGUCUAUAUUUUGAAUUUCCUGAUGUUCAUUUUAUCAAUUUUAUUGGUUGCAGGAUUUUGCGGUGCAAUAAAUUAUCUAUAUAUAGAUCGAGUUCAAGGCAAGAUCAAAGCCAGUCCAUACUGCAUAUAGAUAGUGUAUUAUCAUUAUUGUUUUUGAUUUGUAACACAUUGUAUUUUCACCAAAUGGUGAUCUAUAAUACUCCUGUAUGAAAGAAGAUUGGUUUAAUAUCAUGUUUUUCUUUGGAAAAAUUAGCUAUUGUAAUUAAUGAUUUCUUAUCAAUUUGCAUUUUACUUUUGAUUUCAAUUGGCA
Molecule: long non-coding RNA, 590 nt
Filed under: Medicago truncatula (barrel medic)
Lineage: Eukaryota; Viridiplantae; Streptophyta; Magnoliopsida; Fabales; Fabaceae
Description: long non-coding RNA (MTRU_LNC005311)
Source: RNAcentral